Molecule: ribosomal RNA, 500 nt
Filed under: Thagria patruelis
Lineage: Eukaryota; Metazoa; Arthropoda; Insecta; Hemiptera; Cicadellidae
Description: partial large subunit ribosomal RNA
Rfam family: Bacterial large subunit ribosomal RNA (bases 374-500)
Source: RNAcentral
CUUUAAGGAUGUUUUUAAAGUAUUUUUUGCCCUAUGAUUAAUUAAAUGGCCGCAGUAUUUUGACUGUGCAAAGGUAGCAUAAUAAUUAGUUCUUUAAUUGGGGACUUGAAUGAAUGGAUAAAUGAGAAAUUUAUUUUAUUUUAAUUAACUUUAGAAUUUUAUUUUUGGGUUAAAAAGCUUAAUUUUUUUUUUGGGACGAAAAGACCCUAAAGAACUUUCAAAUUAUUUAUUUGUAUUAUUAUUUAUAUGUAAAUGAAUAUAUUUAAUUAGUUUUUUAACUGGGGCGGUUGUUAAAUUUAACUUUAAUUUUAAAAAUCAAAAAUUAUUGAUUAUUUUGAUCCAAUUAAUUGAUUAUAAGUUAAGUUACCUUAGGGAUAACAGCGUAAUUUUAAUGGGGAGUUCUUAUUUAUAUUAAAGUUUGCGACCUCGAUGUUGAAUUAAGAUAAAUUUAUGGGGUAGGUUCUAUAAUUUUUGGUCUGUUCGACCAUUAUAUUCUUACA